GGCGGCAUAGCCAAGUGGUAAGGCAACGGCCUGCAAAGCCGAUAUUCUCCGGUUCGAAUCCGGAUGCCGCCUCCA
This 75-nucleotide transfer RNA is filed under the name Desulfobacterales bacterium. Its description in RNAcentral is "tRNA-Cys". It matches the Rfam family "tRNA". From Rfam's summary of the family: Transfer RNA (tRNA) molecules are approximately 80 nucleotides in length. RNAcentral also lists the same sequence under 4 other names. The record is from RNAcentral. Lineage: Bacteria; Pseudomonadati; Thermodesulfobacteriota; Desulfobacteria; Desulfobacterales.